This 163-nucleotide ribosomal RNA is filed under the name uncultured Enterococcus sp. Its description in RNAcentral is "partial 16S ribosomal RNA". It matches the Rfam family "Bacterial small subunit ribosomal RNA", at positions 338 to 494 of the family's 1533-position model. Lineage: Bacteria; Bacillati; Bacillota; Bacilli; Lactobacillales; Enterococcaceae. The record is from RNAcentral.
CCUACGGGAGGCAGCAGUAGGGAAUCUUCGGCAAUGGACGAAAGUCUGACCGAGCAACGCCGCGUGAGUGAAGAAGGUUUUCGGAUCGUAAAACUCUGUUGUUAGAGAAGAACAAGGGUGAGAGUAACUGUUCACCCCUUGACGUAUCUAACCAGAAAGCCAC